This is an RNA transcript of Sapajus apella (tufted capuchin), 3320 nucleotides long. It is a transcript of the gene named nuclear nucleic acid-binding protein C1D pseudogene, with no coding region annotated. The record is from RefSeq and is a predicted model, not a curated record. The transcript has a single exon. Lineage: Eukaryota; Metazoa; Chordata; Mammalia; Primates; Cebidae.
CAAAACACAGUAGUGGUUAAACAACUCUAUGGCCAAAUAAUCUUCCAUUUCUACCCUCUUAUAUUCACAAACAACAAAUUUUAGGUUUUCCCUCCUUUCCUCAUUCAUUUUUCAAAACCUAUUUUAUCUGCCAUAAUAAUGAGACAUGUAAAAUUUACUAAAAUCAACGGUAGCAAUUAAGUACAAUUUAAAUUAAAUUCAAAUUAGCAAUUAAAUUUCCUUUAGCUUGUUUGUGAACAGCAGUAGUUCCCUUUCUUUUUAUAAUUCUCACUUUUACUAUCUCUUUUUCAUUUUAAUCACAUAAAUCAGGUCCUUAUCUUCAGCUCUUCUCUCUAUAUCUACUCACCUAAUAUGAGCCAACUAUCUUGACAAUAUAUAUUCCCAAACUGCUUGGGUCUUCUAUCAAUUGUCUUCUGAACACUUCACUGAUAAUGUGGCAGCUAGCUGGUUCACUAUCAAACUAAAAUCCACCUCACAACCUUUUUCUGUCACUGGAACCCCAUUUAGAUCUGUAAUUUAUAUUCUUUUUGGCUUUUCUGGUAUCACAAAUUUUAAUAGCACAAAAAAUUCCCUUUUUAAUUUAUUCAACAAAUCAGGGUACUUUACAUCCUUAUCAUGCAUGCAGGCCACAUCAUAAUUAAUAAUGCUUAACCGAUUUCUGUUUUGUUAAGCCAACUUGCAAAGACAUUACAUUUAACUGUCCUAAAAUGCUCCGAGUAGUAAAUACAACCAGGUGAUAUGUUGGACAAAAUGCUAACACUACAUUUCGUUGUCAAUUUCUCACUGCAAAAUAGGGAAACUAAACUUCAUGACCUUUAAAGUUAUUUUUAUUAACUUGUCUCUUUAAAUAUCCAAUUGCUGUCACCUCUCACUUAUUAACCAUGACCUAUUCUUUCCAAGUAGUGAAAAUAACACUGAAAAAGUAGCAACAUUUUUUAGGGCUAUGUGCCAUUCUUUUAAGUGAUACACACAUGAACAUUCAUUUAAUCCCUACAACUCUAUGAAGUAGAUACUAUUACUCUCAUUUUACAGAAGUAAAUCAAGGCACAGAAAAGCAUGAAUAAACUACAAAGUCACAUAGCCAGUAAAUGAUUCAUAAGAUUUUAAACUCAGGCAACCCGCCUCCAGAAUUCAUGCUCUUUACAAUCAUACUAAAUUACUUCUUUAAAACAAGCUAUCUUGUUUCUCCAUGAGUCCAACAGAAAUACUGAUCCAUGCAUGUGAGGCUAAUCAAAAUCCAAGAUGUGCUACGCACUCUUUGCCAUGGCAUCAACCUCUAUCAUUAUUCCAUAAACACUCCAUUUUUUGAACAAUUAAAAUAACUGUCCAUACAAAAGAACUUACAACUUUUGUGUAUAUUUUGUAAGAUGUUCCUUACAUGUCUUUUGUACAUCUAUUUUUGUCUUCCCAAGUAGACAGAAACAGUAUCAAACUUGUUUUGCACCCCAUUUACAACAUGGCAAAUAUCAAAAAGAAUUUUCCUAGGAAAUUCUGAUUAUUAAUAAUUUAAGACGCUCCCUGUACACUUUGUGUUAAAAAUCCCAGUAAGAUACCAUCUGCUUCAUUUACAAAAAAGCAGUCAAAGCUUUUCAUACUUUUUUGUUCUAACAGAAAACUUUUAGAGAAAAAAUUUCCACAUUUGGCUGUGCAUCAGAAUCACCCAAACAUCUAUGUAAAAUUAGAUGCUGGGCCCUAUCCCAGACAUUUUGUCAGGUCUGUCUCUAUAAAUUAUGUGUAAGAGUAAGAAGCCCCCAAUUGUCUACAUUUUAAACCACAGAAAAUUUAUGAGCCAGUCCAAAAGCUAGGAUUUGUGAAUUUCUACUGUAGAGUGGGAGAUGCAUCUGAUUUAUCUUGUUUGCUUCACUGGGGUUCAGUAUAGUAAAACCUUAAUAAAUAAUGAAUUCCAUUAGCUAUUUCCUUCAAGUAUGUUUCACAAUCCUACACCAACAAUAUCAUCAUUCCUGCAGGUAACACUACCCUCUCUUAUCUACCAACACCCAAAUGUAAGGUUGUUCUCAAAACCUGUAACUGCAUAUUUAAUAACGUGAUUUUCAUUGCUAAAAAAUCUACAUGUUGUAUGUAUCAAAAAAUCUACAAAUGCAGACUAAUAUUUAUACAUUUUCCUUUGAUGUAUUUGAAUAAACAUCUUAUUUAACUACAGUCUAUGGGUCUAUGCUAUAAAUUUAAAGUUUAGCCUGCAGACUGGAGUCGAAGUCCGUGAGUCAGCCAUAAUGGCAGAUGAAGAAAUUAAUGAAGACUAUCCAGUAGAAAUUCACAAGUAUUUGUCAGCCUUUGAGAAUUCCAUUGGUGCUGUGGAUGAGAUGCUGAACACCAUGAUGUCUGUUUCUAGAAAUGAGUUGUUGCAGAAGUUGGACCCACCUGAACAAUCAAAAGUGGAUUUGGUUUCUGCAUACACAUUAAAUUCAAUAUUUUGGGUUUAUUUGGCAACUCAAGGAACGUCCAGUAAAGCAGGAAUUGGAAAGAAUCAGAGUAUAUAUGAACAGAGUCAAGGAAAUAACAGACAUGAAAAAGGCUGGCAAGCUGGACAAUGGUGCAGCUUUAAGGUUUGUAAAAAAUGCUCUCUGGGAACCAAAACCGAAAAUCGCAUCAAAAGUUGCCAAUAAAGGAAAAAGUAAAAGUUAACUUUUUGAUUUUGAUGUAUGCAUAUUCAAAAAGUACAUCAUUUGUUUCCACAAAAGAAUUCUGUGACAGUGCAAGGUUUAAAUGUGUUUCUUAUUGAAUUUAUAUAUAUAUAUAUAUUUACAGUAAAUUUGUAAAGCUGAAUACUUUCCAAAGAUUGUUAUCUUUAUUGAUUUGCACUAUGAGGAUUUAAACACUGUGAUAUAUUUUAUAUUUAUAAUUUGCCAUCUCUUUUGAUGAGACUCAUUUCUUUAUGUAGGUCAAUCUUGCAAGAACCAUUUUAUAAGCAACUGUGAAAUUUAAGUAAAAUGUUCUUCGUAAACAUUUGUAUUAAUUUAAAUGAAUAAUGACCUUAUGAAGUAUGCUUUCUGUAGACUGAAAUUAUAGGUAUAUCUGUUUUCACUAUAUGACAUUAAGAAAGCAUGAAAUGACCUAAAUGUUCAUUGUUUUCUGUAUAGUUACUUUAUAAUGUUUUCAUGAUCUUAGGAAUUACUGCUUUGUUGAUAUUCAGAGUGUGAAACUAAAACUUUAUAGUUGUACUUUAAUUCUUGGCAUGUUGCCUUAUGUCCCAUUUAAAAUAAAAUACAUUCUCAUUAACUGUAGAUGGGAAAUAAGGUUGUAUGUUGAUGGAUAAAUUUUGGCAUGAUGACUAUACUCUCUCAAUAAAGGUUGAAAGUGUU